CUGAUCCUUACAGGUGACAUGUUGAAGAAAGAAGGCAUCUAUCCUUGUAGUCCAGUAAUAUCUGUCCAGUGCAUUCUUCUCAGGUUCAUCCCUCUGUUCUAAGCCCUGUUGAUAUUUUCCCUUUGUUGUUUUCUGUCAAUUUCUAUGGGAGCCUAACUUUUGCCUGCUAUGAUAUGCACAGACAGAUUGCAUGUGAUGACAAACUUCUAAUGAGCUGCAUUAAACUUUUUCAUCAAAUGUAUUCACUAUGGAUUUCCAGUGCUCAAUUGAGAUAUGUAAGUUAACUGAGAAUUCUUAAAUACAAUAUUCUUCUAUAAUACAUACUUCAUAUUUUAUGUCUCUUCUAACUCCUUUUGAAACCAUGUAGGGAUAAAUUAUCAAACUGAGAGGGAAAAUUAGUACUUGUUCAAGAAUUUUUAAAACUGUAUUUUUAUCCUAUCUCUGCUACCACCUCUCUGGCUAGUCUUGGGACAGGGAACUUUGACUUCUUGAUAUCUAAUUUCCUCAUCUGUAAUAUUAAGAAUAACUGACACAAUAAACUGUGCAAUUUAAAGUCUAAUUUGAUAAGUUUUGACAUAUGUAUUCAACUGUGAACUGUCGCUACCAUAGUUCAAAAUAGUGAACUAUUCCCCAAAGGUUUUUUUUGUGCCGCUUUGUAUUUCCUUCUUCCUGUCUCUUGGCCCUCCCAGUCCUCUCCUGUCUUCCAGUAACCACUGAUGUGCUUUCAGUCACUACAGAUUAGUUUGCAUCUUCCAGAGAAAAACACAUUUUAAGCUCACUAGUUUGAGACUAAAAUGAGGUAUAGAAUAACUUUAAUUAUUUUUAAAUAUUAAACUUUUGUUUUUUGACAUUCCCC
Molecule: long non-coding RNA, 856 nt
Filed under: Suricata suricatta (meerkat)
Lineage: Eukaryota; Metazoa; Chordata; Mammalia; Carnivora; Herpestidae
Description: lncRNA (ENSSSUG00005016556.1)
Source: RNAcentral